GGCGGCCCCCGGCUGCCCUCGAGGACGCAGCAGGGAGGGGAGGUCGGCGGUGACUGGCGACGCCGGCCUGACUGCGGAGGCGGCGGGGCCGGGCUCCAGGACCCGCGGUGCGGUAAAGAGGAGGCGCCGGGCCGGGACGACGGUGCCCCCGCCUCCCGCCGGUUCCCCCGCCGCCGCCGCCGCGUCACGAGGCACACAGUCGCGCUGCGAAUCCGCCUUCGGCCGGACGGUAGUCCUCCCAGGAGGGAGACGAGGAGCCCCCGAGGAAACCGAGCCCGCGGGGCGGCAGGGGCGGGGGAGCGACAGGAUGUCCGGUUUGCGACCUAAGCGCCAGAGCAUGCAGUGCCGCGCGGUGAGCCCUGCUGCUACGUGCAAUGACAAAAAGAAGCCAGAGGUCAUUAAAAGCCAUCCUAUAUAGCACAGAAAGCAGAACUGCAGGCUCAGGAAAAAGAACAUAAUAUCAUCUGUGGCUAUUAUGGAUGGCUUACUGUGGACAAGCCAUGGCCCUGAGCCUGGUGAAAACAGGGAGGAGACACCCUAGUGGCAGCUGUUCAGGAAGGAGGGACGUGCAAUGUUGCAGCUCUGGGGAGGUAAACAGCAGCUCCUGCCCUUCGCUGGAGAAACGUAUGCUGAGAACACUGACACACGACCGGACAGUGAAACCACGCAGAGGGAAGCGCUGUCGCAAACACCAGCAGUUGGGCUGAGUGUGUGUAGUGUGUGAAGGAAAGGACUCCCCACCCACGGGGAGGAGAGGAUUGCCAGCUAGCUCCACAGCUGAAGUGAUCAACAAGGAAUGGAGCCCUUGAUAUUUAGCCGGGUGCAUCACAGCCCAGAACAAGAGUCAUUUCUGAGCCACUCCGAGAACCAGAGCUCUGAACUACUUGGAUCCUGCCCAUCCAUGUAGUUGGCAGAGAUUCGUAAGGUGGAAGUCGUGCUUGCACUGCCUCCGCGAUGCUACCGCGGGUUUCUGUUUCCCAGUCCCCUGCCCCAGAACAAAACUGCUUUAUGAUUUCGGUGGCUUUCCAGUGGCUAUAGGACCAUCUGCAUGGGCGGCCUCAGUCUGUUGGGCUGUUCUCAAAGGAGUCCUUGACUGUUUCUUCAGUCCUCCCACUGGUCCUCGAAGCCAUAACCAAACCUGUGCUAAAUCCCGUUCUGAUUUAACUAGCUAAAGUGAAUUCUGUUUCCAGCAAGCGAGCUCUGACCAUACAAAGUUUGGAAUUUAGACGUGGGCUGCUGCCCUAAAAGAUAUUAACGGACACUUCCUUGAUUUAGCAGUCCAAGCAGCUGGUGACAAGGGCAGGUCUAACAGUGUGGGAGGCUGGAGACCCUCGUCAUUGGGCGUCCGAGUAUUUGAUAGAUGGUCACCUACAGGGCCCUGCGGGGCAGAUUGCAUAUUGCGGGAGCCUCUAGUGGCAGGUUCAAGGGUGGACAACUUCAUAAUGCUGUAGGCUGGUUGCUUCUGCUACUUUCAGCGAAGUUUUACCAGAGAAAGAUGAACUACAUGUACAUCUGCAAAAAUAAAUGAAAAGAAUGUGUCUGUUAAGGAAAGGACAGCAAUCUAAAGCUCCAGCAGAGUAUCUCACCUGCGGCAGGGAAGCCAAAAUAUUUGUGACCCUAAUAAUUUGGUGCCUUGCAGUGUUGAAAAAGCCAGUUGUGUCUGUACUUUCUCACUUAAGAAUUAUAAGAGUUUGCUCUGGGCAGCCAUGGUGGCGCAGCGGUUUGGUGCCGCCUGCAGCCUGGGGUGUGAUCCUGGAGACCUGGGAUCGAGUCCCAAUCCGGCUCCCUGCAUGGAGCCUGCUUCUCCCCCUCCCUCUGCCUGUGUCUCUGCCUCUCUCUGUGUGUCUAUGAAUAAAUAAAUAAAAUCUUUAAAAAAAAAAAAAA
This 1884-nucleotide long non-coding RNA is filed under the name Canis lupus familiaris (dog). RNAcentral describes it as "lncRNA (ENSCAFG00845003776.1)". Lineage: Eukaryota; Metazoa; Chordata; Mammalia; Carnivora; Canidae. The record is from RNAcentral.